GAGACAGAAAGACAGAAACAGAGACAGAAUGUGAUAGCACUCUGUCAGGACCCCUGUGAACAUUCACAGUGCAGACAGCUGGUACUUGGUAAAUGCUUGCAAGAAAAUGAAGAAGUAAGUAUAUAAGUAUACAAAUGGAACUAUAAGAAAUACGUAUUUUGUGGUGGAAUUGAUGGAAGCCAGUCCAUGAAAUGACCAUAAAGAAGUUUUUCAGUGGUUCCUAUUAGUAGAGGGUGACUCAGUAAAGUUGAGAACAUUUUUUCCUGAAGAUCAAACAUUCUGUCGUACAAACCAGUCACUCCUUUUAAUCUCCUAAAACAAUCUUGAUGUUUUAGUGGGAAAAAAAGCCUCUGCAGUAGCCUAGAGCUCAAACGUUACUUACAAUUUCCUGUCUGUCAUCUCGGCAGCUCCCUGCCCCUCUCACUUCAUCCGCCUGCUCGGCGUCCACCCUCGAGACAGCCUGACUUCAGUGAAUGUCCACGUUUACAGGAGCUCAGCAGGCACUUCCUGGCUGGCUCCUUUCAGACAAGGAGCCUCUGUUCGCCUUGGGAUGAGGGAGCAGACAGCCUCUGACUGUCCCAGCUGAGAAUCUGUUAAGAUUUGAAUGUCUGUGCCCUCCCCAAAUCUGUAUGCUGAAAUGCUAGCUUCCAAGGUGAUGGCGUUAGGACAUGGAGCAUGUGAGAGGCGAUUUUAGGCCAUGAGGAUGCACUUUACAAGGACCCAAGAGACCACUUAGUUACUUUAUUCAAGCAGGCAGAUCAAGUCACCAAUCUCCAUGAGGUGAAGGGUAGGAACAAACCUUUUAUGUUCUAUUCUCUCAGAGCAAGAUCUAGACUUUUGGGAGACAGUAAGUAUUUUGUUUUUGUAAUAGUCAUUUGAAAUAGUCAUUUCUAUGAUAUGUGGUUUAUUACACAAGAUAGCUAUGAUGAUGUUGAAACAGGGCUCUCUCAGAUAAUGUCUACUGAGAAGAACUUUGAAGCAUAAAUUUGCUUCAUAUUAUUUGCUGUUCUUGGGGGUGCAAAAACAAAACACCAUAUUCUGUGCAGAAUGGUGGAUAACUUUAUCUCCCUGGCUCUGAAGAAUGAUUUGCCUCUUGGCAAAAAUGAACAAUUGUGGGUUGGGAGUGUAGCUCAGUGUUACAGCACCUAUCUGGCAUCUCCUGCAAAAAUAAAAGGAUUAAGAAUAACAAUGAUUCCAUACAUGGAAUUUAAAUGAGUGCUUCCAGAUUCCCAGUUUUUAUAAAUGCUACUUUCUGUCCUGUGAGAAUUAAAUCCCCUGGGUUUGAAACUGCCUACAUUUCCCCAAGCUUUGAUUGCCCUUGUGGCCCAGGAAAGCGGCCAAGUUAUAGAUCUAGUUCAUAAAAUUAAAAAUCUUAGAUGCUCUCUACUUUAGGAAUGAGCUAAACCCUGUAACUUCAUCCAUGACAACGCAGACUUGAACAGCUUUGGAAAAGUAAGUUGUAAACUGGACACCAUUUUAAGAAAAGCAGAAUAUGUACUCAGAGAAAUUCUCCCUGAUGAGAACUGUCUGUUGGGAUAUUAUUGAGUGAAGAUUUAUUUUAAAAGACAUUCAGCAAGAAAACUGGAAGGCAAGCAGGGAGAAUCAUCACUUCUUGUUGAUAGAUAAGAUAGAGCUGAUUGCACUGAAAUCUUGGGCUAUUCCCUUUUGGUUUUAGGGUCUUUGGCAAGGGCCCAUGUCCAGAAAGACUCUUGUGAGGUGGAAAAGAGAGCCAUCCCAAAAGUGACACAAGUCACUGGCUAUCUUGUGUAAUAAGUCAUUCAGAAACGUGAUGGUAUGCCAUCAGGGCGUUAUUACUACAACUCUGUAGGAAGAACUGGGGAUGUGGGGACCACUACUCUCCAUAUGGCAAGGCCACUUGGCUAGCUUGAGCUUCCUUCCAACAUGGAGAUCUCAAGGCAGCCUGAAAAUUUGGAGGAUUGGGAGGCUGGUGACCAGCUUCUUCCUGAGUCAGUGUUUCAGCAAGCCUAGGUGGAAAUUGCUAGUCUUGUUAGAAGUUAAGCCCAAAUGCAGCCCUGUAUCACUUCCGUUGUUCUGUGUUGGUAACAGCCCAGCCACAGGCCAACUCUGAUUCUAGAGGAGAGGAAAUGACCCUCGCCUCUUGAUAGGAGGAAUGUCAGAAUUUCUUGCCAUCUUUCAUAUACUACCACCAUUAAGGUGAUCUGGUAGAGGAAAGCAGACCAAAGUGUAGCCAAGGCGCUAUGUGGAAGGAUUUUUUUUUUCAUUUCUGCUGUACUUAGUUAUGUGGUUUAUUAUUUGUUCCGUAGUGGAGUGUGAGAGAUUUGGAGAAAUUUGAGAGGACUCCCAAUGUUUGCAGAGAAGCACCGGUUUAAACGCUGGGAAGUAGGACAGAGGGACUUACAAAGUAGGAUUGAUUUGGCCUGGAGCGGGAAGGCAGGAGAGUAGCUGACUCAUCAUCUUCAAAUUCGUGACGGUUGCUAUGAAAUAGAUGCAUGACUGCAGAAAGCAGAGCAAAAGUGGAUUUGUCAGGCUGGAAAUAGCAAAGAAUCCCAACCAAGAUAGGGGCAUCUCUGGGACCUGAAAGAAGUUUCCUUUUCUGAAGCUGUUUGAAAGAGGACACAUUUUAUAUGACUGUAAAGAAUUAGAAUUAGUUUUACUGGGAAAUAGAAGUGGUAGAUUAGAUCACUUUUUCUUUUCUUCUCUUUUGUGUUUUAUAUUGGAACCCUUUUCCAAGCAAAAUCAUGUAUCAAAUAGGAAAAGUGCCGCUGUUUGGGUUGUGGUGAGUAAGGGCACAGCUUCCCUGGGUCUCUUCUGUCUCCUUGCCUUCCCAAGGUCCCAAGCGUCACUGUGGGAGACGCAAAGAUUCUGCAAAAGAUAACUUAAAAAUAAUUAACGCUGAUAAAGUGUCCCCUCACAGUUCUAUAAAAACUGUGUACACUUAAGAGGUUUUUUAUCUUUUGUUUUUCCUCAAAACUGAAGUUAGGCCUUAUGGGUUUGGGAACUUGAUGAGUUCUUUUCAUGAUUCAAAUUCAUGAGAUUUUGUUGUUUCUGAUCUUAGGUUCUAUCUCUUGUGUACUGUCAAAUGACACCUUGUUAUGUACUCUAGAAGUACAUGAGUUACUAAAGGUACCGAGUAUAAUGCAAGCUUUAGUUAACGAUUUUCAUUUUUUGCUUGCUUGGCUGGGUUGAUUAUGAAGUGCAAACGUAUCAUUGAAGAUCAAAGAUGUUAUGCUGGAAUUGAUUCAUGGUGUGAUGCUAAAAUUAAGAGUGUGAGGUCUAUGUGCCCUGAUAUCCUGGACAGAACAUAAGGUACAAAAAAGGACUGCUCUAGUCACUUGCUGCUUCAUUUCUUCACUACUGGGCUGCAUUCUGGCCGCUAUGAACGGUUUCUCAUCGUAAUGGUCCUCUGCCACGUCACCGUGCCUUGGAGCCAGCCAACUGUGAACUGAAACCUUUACAAACUGUGAGCCAAAUAAAUCUUUCUUCCUUUAACUUUGGGUACUAGGUAUUUUGUCUCAACGAAGAGCAAAGACACUGAGUAAUUUAUCGAAGAUUACUUUUUACCAAAUUGGUAAGUGGUGGAUUCAAACCAGGCAUUUUGGUGCAAGAACAUAUGCACUUGGGGUCUACAUCUGUGUUUCCUUGUCUCUCCUCUCCUUUGCUCUCUCAAAGGAAUAAGAAGAGUUUUCCCAGGACCCGUCCAGCAGACAACUCUGCAGCUGAUCGAUUUGUGCCUACUCCUGAGCCAAUCGGAUAACCCUUGCCAAAUAGACCACUUCUGGAGUUGAAAGUGUGGUCAAAAUCCCUCCACGAGCGUUGCUGGCAGGGAAGCAUAGAAGCAUAAACUGAACCUGAGUUCACUUUGGAAGGAAAAAGGGGUAGAGGGAGAGAUUCAUUCUAAGGAGAUAAUCUAUUGCAUUCAGUAGAGGUGACUUCUACUAGCUCUUUGUAGUCAGUGACUGACUCAUUUGAAUGCCAGUUACAUUGAGCCUCCAAGUGAGAAGCCCAUGAGGCAGUUGGACUAUGGUUUAAAACCUGAGGAAAAUUUGGGCUAGAGAUGUAGUUCUUGAUUGGAGCUGAAGAUCUAGGUACCACCCACACAGAGAUUACAGUUUAAGUCUGGACACUCAGAAAAUCUCCAUAGAAGAGUAUAGAGAUUUGAGACAAAAUGGCCCACCAAAAGAUUUAGUGUAUCUUGCACUGUGUUAGAUAGAACAUUUUUUUAUGAUUAAAAAAAAACUGUAAAGCCUCUUUAACAAAUAGUGCUAAAAAUUGAAUAUGCAUUGUAGAAGACUGAAACUAGAUCUCUAUUUCUCACCCUGUAUAAAAAUCAAUUUUAAAUGGAUCAAGCACCUAGGAAUGAAACUUUGAAACUGCUUGAAGAAAAAAAUAGGAGAAAUACUUGCAGGCAUAAGCACAAGCAAAGAAUUCCUGAUUAGAACUCCAAAUAACACCAGCAAUACCAACAAAUGGGACUAUAUCACUGAAACAUUUCUGCACAAGGAAACAAGAAACAGUGUGAAUAGAUAACCCACAGAAUGGGAGAAAAAUCUUUGCUAGGUUCUCUUCCAACAGAAGAUUAUUGCCUAGAAUGUAUAAAGAACUCAGGGGCUGGGGAUUUAGCUCAGCAGCAUAAGCACCUGCCUUGCAAGCAGGCGGUCAUGAGUUCGAUCCCUGGUACCAAUAAAAAGAUAGAAUGUAUAAAGAACUCAAAACAGUUAACAUAAAAAAAUCAGUAGCCCAAUCAAUAAAUGGAUAAGAGAAUUGAGCUGA
Long non-coding RNA from Cavia porcellus (domestic guinea pig), 4752 nucleotides. RefSeq lists it as uncharacterized. The record is from RefSeq and is a predicted model, not a curated record. The transcript is spliced from 4 exons. NCBI's taxonomy places the organism in Eukaryota, Metazoa, Chordata, Mammalia, Rodentia, Caviidae.